AACGAACGCUGGCGGCAUGCCUAACACAUGCCAGUCGAACGAGACCUUCGGGUCUAGUGGCGCACGGGUGCGUAACGCGUGGGAACCUGCCCUUAGGUUCGGAAUAACUCCCCGAAAGGGGUGCUAAUACCGGAUAAUGUCUUCGGACCAAAGAUUUAUCGUCUUUGGAUGGGCCCGCGUUGGAUUAGCUAGUUGGUAGGGUAAAAGCCUACCAAGGCGACGAUCCAUAGCUGGUCUGAGAGGAUGAUCAGCCACACUGGGACUGAGACACGGCCCAGACUCCUACGGGAGGCAGCAGUGGGGAAUAUUGGACAAUGGGCGAAGGCCUGAUCCAGCAAUGCCGCGUGAGUGAUGAAGGCCUUAGGGUUGUAAAGCUCUUUUACCCGGGAUGAUAAUGACAGUACCGGGAGAAUAAGCACCGGCUAACUCCGUG
RNAcentral lists this ribosomal RNA (433 nucleotides) under uncultured bacterium. RNAcentral's name for it is "partial 16S ribosomal RNA". It matches the Rfam family "Bacterial small subunit ribosomal RNA", at positions 29 to 507 of the family's 1533-position model. The record is from RNAcentral.